RNAcentral lists this ribosomal RNA (458 nucleotides) under uncultured bacterium. RNAcentral's name for it is "partial 16S ribosomal RNA". It matches the Rfam family "Bacterial small subunit ribosomal RNA", at positions 338 to 795 of the family's 1533-position model. The record is from RNAcentral.
CCUACGGGAGGCAGCAGUGAGGAAUAUUGGUCAAUGGCCGAGAGGCUGAACCAGCCAAGUCGCGUGAGGGAAGAAUGUCCUAUGGAUUGUAAACCUCUUUUGUCAGGGAGCAAAGUCACCCACGUGUGGGUGUUGGAGAGUACCUGAAGAAAAGGAAUGGGUAAACUCGGGCCAGCAGGCGCGGGAAUUAGGGGGGUGCCAGCUUUAUCCGGAUUUAUUGGGGUUAAAGGGUGCGUAGGCGGGUUAUCAAGUAAGGGGUAAAAUCGUGGAGCUCAACUCCAUCCAGCCGUUGAAACUGAUGAUCUUGAGUGGGCGAGAAGUAUGCGGAAUGCGUGGUGUAGCGGUGAAAUGCAUAGAUAUCACGCAGAACUCCGAUUGCGAAGGCAGCAUACCGGCGCCCGACUGACGCUGAAGCACGAAAGCGUGGGUAUCGAACAGGAUUAGAUACCCCAGUAGUC